This 433-nucleotide ribosomal RNA is filed under the name uncultured bacterium. RNAcentral describes it as "bacterial SSU rRNA". It matches the Rfam family "Bacterial small subunit ribosomal RNA", at positions 96 to 524 of the family's 1533-position model. The record is from RNAcentral.
UGGCGGACGGGUGAGAAAUGUCUGGGUUAACUGCCCGAUGGAGGGGGAUAACUACUGGAAACGGUAGCUAAUACCGCAUAACGUCGCAAGACCAAAGAGGGGGACCUUCGGGCCUCUUGCCAUCGGAUGUGCCCAGAUGGGAUUAGCUAGUAGGUGGGGUAACGGCUCACCUAGGCGACGAUCCCUAGCUGGUCUGAGAGGAUGACCAGCCACACUGGAACUGAGACACGGUCCAGACUCCUACGGGAGGCAGCAGUGGGGAAUAUUGCACAAUGAGCGCAAGCCUGAUGCAGCCAUGCCGCGUGUAUGAAGAAGGCCUUCGGGUUGUAAAGUACUUUCAGCGAGGAGGAAGGCGUUGUGGUUAAUAACCGCAACGAUUGACGUUACUCGCAGAAGAAGCACCGGCUAACUCCGUGCCAGCAGCCGCGGUAAU